UACGGGAGGCAGCAGUGAGGAAUAUUGGUCAAUGGGCGAGAGCCUGAACCAGCCAAGUAGCGUGCAGGAAGACGGCCCUAUGGGUUGUAAACUGCUUUUAUCAGGGGAUAAAGUUUCCCACGUGUGGGAUUUUGUAGGUACCUGAUGAAUAAGGACCGGCUAAUUCCGUGCCAGCAGCCGCGGUAAU
RNAcentral lists this ribosomal RNA (187 nucleotides) under uncultured rumen bacterium. RNAcentral's name for it is "partial 16S ribosomal RNA". It matches the Rfam family "Bacterial small subunit ribosomal RNA", at positions 340 to 524 of the family's 1533-position model. The record is from RNAcentral.